GGAAGUCAAUCAUCUAAACUUU
RNAcentral lists this small nuclear RNA (22 nucleotides) under Arabidopsis thaliana (thale cress). Its description in RNAcentral is "snRNA_12740". The record is from RNAcentral. Lineage: Eukaryota; Viridiplantae; Streptophyta; Magnoliopsida; Brassicales; Brassicaceae.